Small nucleolar RNA from Lemur catta (Ring-tailed lemur), 104 nucleotides. RefSeq annotates it as small nucleolar RNA U13. The transcript has a single exon. NCBI's taxonomy places the organism in Eukaryota, Metazoa, Chordata, Mammalia, Primates, Lemuridae. The record is from RefSeq and is a predicted model, not a curated record.
AUCCUUCUGUGGUUCAUAAACAUGAUGAUUGGGUUUUCACACUAAUAUGUGAGAUGUGUCUCCUUCAAACCAUGUUAUAACAUCAGUACAUUACCCAUCUGAUG